This 348-nucleotide ribosomal RNA is filed under the name Mischocyttarus melanarius. RNAcentral's name for it is "partial 12S ribosomal RNA". Lineage: Eukaryota; Metazoa; Arthropoda; Insecta; Hymenoptera; Vespidae. The record is from RNAcentral.
UUUUAAUAAAAAAGUUAAAUAAAAAAUUAAAUGAUUAAUCAUUAAAUUAAAAAGAUUUGGCGGUAUUUUAAUUUAAUUAGAGGAACUUGUGGUUUUAAAAUGAUAGUCCACGAUAAGAUAUACUUUGAUUUAAAAUUUAUGUAUUGCUGUUUUAAGAAAAAUAUUAAGUUAUUAUUUAUAAAAUUUUUUUGAAUUUUAAUUCAGGUCAAAAUGUAGUUUAUUAGAGAAAUAAUGAGUUACAAUUUAUUUUUAAUUGGAUUAAAAAAUUUAAUUUAUUUUUUUUUAUGAAAGUGGAUUUAAUAGUAAGUUUUUAUAAAUUUUAAAAUUUGAAAAUUAUUUUAAAUAUGU